UUAAGCGACUAAGCGUACACGGUGGAUGCCCUGGCAGUCAGAGGCGAUGAAGGACGUGCUAAUCUGCGAUAAGCGUCGGUAAGGUGAUAUGAACCGUUAUAACCGGCGAUUUCCGAAUGGGGAAACCCAGUGUGUUUCGACACACUAUCAUUAACUGAAUCCAUAGGUUAAUGAGGCGAACCGGGGGAACUGAAACAUCUAAGUACCCCGAGGAAAAGAAAUCAACCGAGAUUCCCCCAGUAGCGGCGAGCGAACGGGGAGCAGCCCAGAGCCUGAAUCAGUGUGUGUGUUAGUGGAAGCGUCUGGAAAGGCGCGCGAUACAGGGUGACAGCCCCGUACACAAAAAUGCACAUACUGUGAGCUCGAUGAGUAGGGCGGGACACGUGGUAUCCUGUCUGAAUAUGGGGGGACCAUCCUCCAAGGCUAAAUACUCCUGACUGACCGAUAGUGAACCAGUACCGUGAGGGAAAGGCGAAAAGAACCCCGGCGAGGGGAGUGAAAAAGAACCUGAAACCGUGUACGUACAAGCAGUGGGAGCCUCUUAAUGGGGUGACUGCGUACCUUUUGUAUAAUGGGUCAGCGACUUAUAUUCUGUAGCAAGGUUAACCGAAUAGGGGAGCCGAAGGGAAACCGAGUCUUAACUGGGCGUUAAGUUGCAGGGUAUAGACCCGAAACCCGGUGAUCUAGCCAUGGGCAGGUUGAAGGUUGGGUAACACUAACUGGAGGACCGAACCGACUAAUGUUGAAAAAUUAGCGGAUGACUUGUGGCUGGGGGUGAAAGGCCAAUCAAACCGGGAGAUAGCUGGUUCUCCCCGAAAGCUAUUUAGGUAGCGCCUCGUGAAUUCAUCUCCGGGGGUAGAGCACUGUUUCGGCAAGGGGGUCAUCCCGACUUACCAACCCGAUGCAAACUGCGAAUACCGGAGAAUGUUAUCACGGGAGACACACGGCGGGUGCUAACGUCCGUCGUGAAGAGGGAAACAACCCAGACCGCCAGCUAAGGUCCCAAAGUCAUGGUUAAGUGGGAAACGAUGUGGGAAGGCCCAGACAGCCAGGAUGUUGGCUUAGAAGCAGCCAUCAUUUAAAGAAAGCGUAAUAGCUCACUGGUCGAGUCGGCCUGCGCGGAAGAUGUAACGGGGCUAAACCAUGCACCGAAGCUGCGGCAGCGACACUAUGUGUUGUUGGGUAGGGGAGCGUUCUGUAAGCCUGUGAAGGUGUACUGUGAGGUAUGCUGGAGGUAUCAGAAGUGCGAAUGCUGACAUAAGUAACGAUAAAGCGGGUGAAAAGCCCGCUCGCCGGAAGACCAAGGGUUCCUGUCCAACGUUAAUCGGGGCAGGGUGAGUCGACCCCUAAGGCGAGGCCGAAAGGCGUAGUCGAUGGGAAACAGGUUAAUAUUCCUGUACUUGGUGUUACUGCGAAGGGGGGACGGAGAAGGCUAUGUUGGCCGGGCGACGGUUGUCCCGGUUUAAGCGUGUAGGCUGGUUUUCCAGGCAAAUCCGGAAAAUCAAGGCUGAGGCGUGAUGACGAGGCACUACGGUGCUGAAGCAACAAAUGCCCUGCUUCCAGGAAAAGCCUCUAAGCAUCAGGUAACAUCAAAUCGUACCCCAAACCGACACAGGUGGUCAGGUAGAGAAUACCAAGGCGCUUGAGAGAACUCGGGUGAAGGAACUAGGCAAAAUGGUGCCGUAACUUCGGGAGAAGGCACGCUGAUAUGUAGGUGAAGUCCCUUGCGGAUGGAGCUGAAAUCAGUCGAAGAUACCAGCUGGCUGCAACUGUUUAUUAAAAACACAGCACUGUGCAAACACGAAAGUGGACGUAUACGGUGUGACGCCUGCCCGGUGCCGGAAGGUUAAUUGAUGGGGUUAGCGGUAACGCGAAGCUCUUGAUCGAAGCCCCGGUAAACGGCGGCCGUAACUAUAACGGUCCUAAGGUAGCGAAAUUCCUUGUCGGGUAAGUUCCGACCUGCACGAAUGGCGUAAUGAUGGCCAGGCUGUCUCCACCCGAGACUCAGUGAAAUUGAACUCGCUGUGAAGAUGCAGUGUACCCGCGGCAAGACGGAAAGACCCCGUGAACCUUUACUAUAGCUUGACACUGAACAUUGAGCCUUGAUGUGUAGGAUAGGUGGGAGGCUUUGAAGUGUGGACGCCAGUCUGCAUGGAGCCGGCCUUGAAAUACCACCCUUUAAUGUUUGAUGUUCUAACGUUGGCCCCUGAUCGGGGUUGCGGACAGUGUCUGGUGGGUAGUUUGACUGGGGCGGUCUCCUCCUAAAGAGUAACGGAGGAGCACGAAGGUUGGCUAAUCCUGGUCGGACAUCAGGAGGUUAGUGCAAUGGCAUAAGCCAGCUUGACUGCGAGCGUGACGGCGCGAGCAGGUGCGAAAGCAGGUCAUAGUGAUCCGGUGGUUCUGAAUGGAAGGGCCAUCGCUCAACGGAUAAAAGGUACUCCGGGGAUAACAGGCUGAUACCGCCCAAGAGUUCAUAUCGACGGCGGUGUUUGGCACCUCGAUGUCGGCUCAUCACAUCCUGGGGCUGAAGUAGGUCCCAAGGGUAUGGCUGUUCGCCAUUUAAAGUGGUACGCGAGCUGGGUUUAGAACGUCGUGAGACAGUUCGGUCCCUAUCUGCCGUGGGCGCUGGAGAACUGAGGGGGGCUGCUCCUAGUACGAGAGGACCGGAGUGGACGCAUCACUGGUGUUCGGGUUGUCAUGCCAAUGGCACUGCCCGGUAGCUAAAUGCGGAAGAGAUAAGUGCUGAAAGCAUCUAAGCACGAAACUUGCCCCGAGAUGAGUUCUCCCUGACUCUUUAAGGGUCCUGAAGGAACGUUGAAGACGACGACGUUGAUAGGCCGGGUGUGUAAGCGCAGCGAUGCGUUGAGCUAACCGGUACUAAUGAACCGUGAGGCUUAACCUU
RNAcentral lists this ribosomal RNA (2902 nucleotides) under Escherichia coli. RNAcentral describes it as "bacterial LSU rRNA". It matches the Rfam family "Bacterial large subunit ribosomal RNA". RNAcentral also lists the same sequence under 8 other names. Lineage: Bacteria; Pseudomonadati; Pseudomonadota; Gammaproteobacteria; Enterobacterales; Enterobacteriaceae. The record is from RNAcentral.